Molecule: ribosomal RNA, 483 nt
Filed under: uncultured bacterium
Lineage: Bacteria
Description: partial 16S ribosomal RNA
Rfam family: Bacterial small subunit ribosomal RNA
Source: RNAcentral
AUUGAACGCUGGCGGCAGGCCUAACACAUGCAAGUCGAGCGGAUGAAGGGAGCUUGCUCCUGGAUUCAGCGGCGGACGGGUGAGUAAUGCCUAGGAAUCUGCCUGGUAGUGGGGGAUAACGUCCGGAAACGGGCGCUAAUACCGCAUACGUCCUGAGGGAGAAAGUGGGGGAUCUUCGGACCUCACGCUAUCAGAUGAGCCUAGGUCGGAUUAGCUAGUUGGUGGGGUAAAGGCCUACCAAGGCGACGAUCCGUAACUGGUCUGAGGGGAUGAUCAGUCACACGGAAACGAGAAAACGGUCCGAACUCCAACGGAGGGCGGAGGUGGGAAUUUUUGGAAAUGGGGGAAAAGCUUGAUCCGGCCUGCCCGGGGUGGGAAAAAGGUUUUUGGGUUUUAAAAGCCCUUUAGGUGGGGAGAAAGGGGAGAAAGUUAAACCCUUGCUGUUUUAAGUUACCCAACAAAAAAAGCACGGCUAAAUUCCUG